AUGCCGUGGCUGGGAGCUGUCCCCGAUGGGUCGGUCCCCACUGCUCGCCUGGCGGUGCUGCCAUCGGGGCGGGCAGUGGGGGCACCCAGCGCUGGCAGCAGGGUCAAUGGGGACAGCGGGGACGUGCCCGAUGCCACCUCCGGGGGGCUGCUGGAUGGGGACACCCCCUCUGCCGUCCCCGCGGUGGCACUGCUGUCCUGCGGGAUGCCUGCCCGCGGUACCCCAGGGGUGCUGAGUGUCCUGGGCACCCCUGAAGCAGCUGGGGUGGCACUGGAGCUGCCAUCCCAUGCCAUGGUGGCGGUGUCGCUGCUGGUUGGCGAUGCUGUGCCCAGCUCUGCUGCACUAAUUGGAGUUUUGCUAAUGAGGGCAGCUGGCCGGGUCCCGGUGCCAUACUCCUGGAGGGAAGGCGUCGUCUUUGCUCCAUCCACGAGGGACAGGGACGUGGCCACGCUGGGGCUGGCCGGAGGGGAUCUGUCCCCAUCCACCUGUGCCGCGGGGAUGCUGGGGACUGGAGAGGAGAGCCCAGGGGAGAGGCCACCCCCAGGGGGUGACACAGCAGGGGCCGUGCUGGGGACCUGCCCCGUGUCCCUUGGUGUGGCCUCGGUGUGCAGGGCAGCAGCGGCCACCAGCUCAGCCUUUGCCGGGGCUGGAAAUGGCACGGUGGGGACGUGCUCUGUGUUGGUGACAUCCAGUGCCAUGGCUGGCGGUCCCGGGGCCGGUGUGGUGGCACGGGGACGGGUGGCAGGAUUGGAUCCGAGCAGCCCAGCUCCAGUUGGUGUCCCUGGCUCCGCAGCCUCGCUGACACCAGCAGUGGCAGGAGGAAAGGUGCUCGCUGCUGAGGAUGCUCCCGGGGGGGCUGCAGGCCAUGGGAUCCUGGAUCCUUCAGUGGCUGUGCGGAGGGGACCCCCGCUGGCUGCUGGAGCAGUGGGGUCGGUGACAGGGCCACCCAGGGCUGCUGGUGGCUCCACGGAGCGGAUUGUGUCCCCAGGGGAGGCCGGCGAGACACUGGCUGCCGUGGCAGGAGGCGAGGUGGCCGCGUCCAGCUCCGGGGUGGCCUUUUGGGACAGGAGCACGGUGGUUGCGUGCGGCUCAGCGGGGCUCUCGCUGAUGCGGGGGGGCGAUGUCCCCGUGCUGUGUGAGGCAGGAGAUGGCACGGUGCUCCACGCUGUCCCCAGCGUCCCCUCUGCAGUGACAGCGCUGCGGGGCUGCGCCAACUCACGGGCAUCGCUCGCUUUGCUCGUGGCUGAGGAAGGUGCUUUUGUCCCCAGCUCUAGUUGA
Molecule: long non-coding RNA, 1278 nt
Filed under: Cairina moschata (Muscovy duck)
Lineage: Eukaryota; Metazoa; Chordata; Aves; Anseriformes; Anatidae
Description: domestica (muscovy Duck (domestic type)) lncRNA (ENSCMMG00000000445.1)
Source: RNAcentral